UAACCUCAACUGAUCUCAACAUCAAGUCCUAUGGCACAACCACCUCCUGUGACAAACCCCCAGUGUGGAAGCUCCUCAAGGUGUUAACUGGGGUGUGGUUUUUGAGCACUGGUGGUGUUGAAGGCAAUCCGGGGAUUGACACCAUUGUCAAUUGGUUUAAGAUUGAGAAGGCUGAGAAAGACUAUGUGAUUUCUUUCUGUCCCUCAGUGUGCAAAUGCCAGACUUUGUGUAGGGAACUUGGGUUAUAUGUUGGUGAUGAUGGAAACAAGCAUUUGUCU
Molecule: long non-coding RNA, 278 nt
Filed under: Phaseolus vulgaris (common bean)
Lineage: Eukaryota; Viridiplantae; Streptophyta; Magnoliopsida; Fabales; Fabaceae
Description: long non-coding RNA (PVUL_LNC003672)
Source: RNAcentral